Non-coding RNA from Brachypodium distachyon (stiff brome), 136 nucleotides. The record is from Rfam. Lineage: Eukaryota; Viridiplantae; Streptophyta; Magnoliopsida; Poales; Poaceae.
AAAGUACUCCCUCCGUCCAACAAAGGAUACCUCAACUUUGACCAAAUUUGAAUGCAUCUAUACAUUAGGACAUGUCUAGAUACAUUCAAAUUUUGACAAACUUGAGACAUCUUUUAUAGGACGGAGGGAGUAUAAA